AAAAAAACGCCUUACUAUACUAUGUCGAAAAAAAAUGGGAUUUUUCAAACAUGUUGUAAAAACGUGCCAUAUGAUGAAAUAAUGUAAAGGAGGCUGUGAAAAACACUCUAGAAAGGUUUUCUUUGAAAAAAAAAUCAUCAUGAAUUUUGGCGCAAAAAAACGCCUUACUAUACUAUGUCGAAAAAAAAAUGGGAUUUUUCAAACAUGUUGUAAAAACGUGCCAUAUGAUGAAAUAAUGUAAAGGAGGCCGUGAAAAACACUCCAGAAAGGUUUUCUUUGAAAAAACAUGAAUUUUGGCGCAAAAAAACGCCUACUAUACUAUGUCGCAAAAAAAUGGGAUUUUUCAAACAUGUUGUAAAAACGUGCCAUAUGAUGAAAUAAUGUAAAGGAGGCCGUGAAAACCACUCCAGAAAGGUUUUCUUUGAAAAAAAAAUCAUCAUGAAUUUUGGCACAAAAAAACGCCUUACUAUACUAUGUCGAAAAAAAAUGGGAUUUUUCAAACAUGUUGUAAAAACGUGCCAUAUGAUGAAAUAAUGUAAAGGAGGCCGUGAAAAACACUCCAGAAAGGUUUUCUUUGAAAAAACAUGAAUUUUGGCGCAAAAAAACGCCUACUAUACUAUGUCGCAAAAAAAUGCGAUUUUUCAAACAUGUUGUAAAAACGUGCCAUAUGAUGAAAUAAUGUAAAGGAGGCCGUGAAAAACACUCCAGAAAGGUUUUCUUUGAAAAAAAAAUCAUCAUGAAUUUUGGCGCAAAAAAACGCCUUACUAUACUAUGUCGAAAAAAAAUGCGAUUUUUCAAGCAUGUUGUAAAAACGUGCCAUAUGAUGAAAUAAUGUAAAGGAGGCCGUGAAAAACACUCUAGAAAGGUUUUCUUUGAAAAAAAAAUCAUCAUGAAUUUUGGCGCAAAAAAAACGCCUUACUAUACUAUGUCGAAAAAAAAUGGGAUUUUUCAAACAUGUUGUAAAAACGUGCCAUAUGAUGAAAUAAUGUAAAGGAGGCCGUGAAAAACACUCCAGAAAGGUUUUCUUUGAAAAAAAAAAUCAUCAUGAAUUUUGGCACAAAAAAACGCCUUACUAUACUAUGUCGAAAAAAAAUGGGAUUUUUCAAACAUGUUGUAAAAACGUGCCAUAUGAUGAAAUAAUGUAAAGGAGGCCGUGAAAAACACUCCAGAAAGGUUUUCUUUGAAAAAAAAAUCAUCAUGAAUUUUGUCGCAAAAAAACGCCUUACUAUACUAUGUCGAAAAAAAAUGCGAUUUUUCAAACAUGUUGUAAAAACGUGCCAUAUGAUGAAAUAAUGUAAAGGAGGCCGUGAAAAACACUCCAGAAAGGUUUUCUUUGAAAAAAAAAAAAAAAUUUUGGCACAAAAAAACGCCACAGUAUACUAUGUCGAAAAAAAAAAUGCGAUUUUUCAACAUGUUGUAAAAAUGAGCCGUAUGAUGAAAUAAUGUAGAGGAGGCCGUGAAAAACACUCCAGAAUGGAUUUCUUUGAAAAAAAAAAAUCAUCAUGAAUUUUGGCGCAAAAAAACGCCUUACUAUACUAUGUCGAAAUAAAAAUGCGAUUUUUCAACAUGUAUUUGCUCUUUUUUCAAUUCAAUUCAAUUCAAUUUUAUUUAUAUAGCGCCAAUUACAGUCAAAUUGUCUCGAGACGCUUUACAGAACCCAUAUGCCUGACCCCCAGAGCAAGCCAAAAGGCGACAGUGGCAAGGAAAACACCCUUUUAACGGGGAAAAAAACCUCGAGCAGAACCCGGCUCUAAUGUGGGGGGACCCAUCUGCCUGCUGGCCGGGCGGGUUGAGAGGGACAGAAGAAGUAGAGAGGUAGAGAUAGAGGGGUAGAGGUAGAGACAGAGGGAUACAGAUAGAGGGG
Molecule: long non-coding RNA, 1864 nt
Organism: Amphiprion ocellaris (clown anemonefish)
Lineage: Eukaryota; Metazoa; Chordata; Actinopteri; Pomacentridae
Source: Ensembl